Non-coding RNA from Parathielavia hyrcaniae, 93 nucleotides. The record is from the annotation of a GenBank genome assembly. Lineage: Eukaryota; Fungi; Ascomycota; Sordariomycetes; Sordariales; Chaetomiaceae.
GGGUGACUAGUCUAGUGGUCAGGACGCUUCGUUGUGGUGGAUAUCCGACACAAACGAUCCGAAGAAACCCCGGUUCGAUUCCGGGGUCGCCCA